CGAGUCUUAACCGGGCGUUAAGUUGCAGGGUAUAGACCCGAAACCCGGUGAUCUAGCCAUGGGCAGGUUGAAGGUUGGGUAACACUAACUGGAGGACCGAACCGACUAAUGUUGAAAAAUUAGCGGAUGACCUGUGGCUGGGGGUGAAAGGCCAAUCAAACCGGGAGAUAGCUGGUUCUCCCCGAAAGCUAUUUAGGUAGCGCCUCGUGAAUUCAUCUCCGGGGGUAGAGCACUGUUUCGGCUAGGGGGCCAUCCCGGCUUACCAACCCGAUGCAAACUGCGAAUACCGGAGAAUGUUAUCACGGGAGACACACGGCGGGUGCUAACGUCCGUCGUGAAGAGGGAAACAACCCAGACCGCCAGCUAAGGUCCCAAAGUCAUGGUUAAGUGGGAAACGAUGUGGGAAGGCCCAGACAGCCAGGAUGUUGGCUUAGAAGCAGCCAUCAUUUAAAGAAAGCGUAAUAGCUCACUGGUCGAGUCGGCCUGCGCG
Molecule: ribosomal RNA, 490 nt
Filed under: Salmonella enterica
Lineage: Bacteria; Pseudomonadati; Pseudomonadota; Gammaproteobacteria; Enterobacterales; Enterobacteriaceae
Description: partial 23S ribosomal RNA
Rfam family: Bacterial large subunit ribosomal RNA
Source: RNAcentral